AUACGGAGGGUCCAAGCGUUAUCCGGAAUCAUUGGGUUUAAAGGGUCCGCAGGCGGUCAAUUAAGUCAGAGGUGAAAGCCCAUCGCUCAACAAUGGAACUGCCUUUGAUACUGGUUGACUUGAGUUAUACGGAAGUAGAUAGAAUAAGUAGUGUAGCGGUGAAAUGCAUAGAUAUUACUUAGAAUACCGAUUGCGAAGGCAGUCUACUACGUAUAUACUGACGCUGAGGGACGAAAGCGUGGGGAGCGAACAGGAUUAGAAACCCUAGUAGUCC
RNAcentral lists this ribosomal RNA (274 nucleotides) under uncultured bacterium. Its description in RNAcentral is "partial 16S ribosomal RNA". It matches the Rfam family "Bacterial small subunit ribosomal RNA", at positions 523 to 796 of the family's 1533-position model. The record is from RNAcentral.